Molecule: long non-coding RNA, 841 nt
Organism: Esox lucius (northern pike)
Lineage: Eukaryota; Metazoa; Chordata; Actinopteri; Esociformes; Esocidae
Source: Ensembl
ACUGCACAAAGCAGCUGAAAAUGUGACUUACUUUACCAGCUAAGAUUCUUAUUUUUAGCAACGACCUGGGAGCAAUUAGAGUUAACUGCCAGCCAAGAAAAACUGUUUUCACCUUGCCAGCUAAGGGAUACGAUCUAGCAAACUCUUCGUUACAGAAUCAUUCGUGGAGAAGCUGCUACACUAUAUUCCGCAGUGGAACAUGCGCGUCCAUCCCGAGAGCCAGAUCACACAGCAAACGUAAAGGAGCUGUUGGGACUAAACGGCUGGUCAGAACCCACAUCUGCCUAACCCUUCCUGACACCUUGGACGCCCUUCAACUUGCAUACCCAGAAGAUCUACGGCUGAUGACAUCGCCCUGAUGACAAAAGUGCCUGUACAUCCUGAGGACACUCAAAGAGUUUGGCAUGUCUGCAAAAACAUCUCACCAACUUCUACAGGAGCACCAUUAAGAGCAUCCACUCAGGCUGCUUUACUGCCUGGUAUGGCAGUGGCUCCGCUGCUGAUAACAAGGCCCUCCAGAGGGUGGUAAAGUCUGCAGAGCGGAUCAUCAGCUGCCAUCUCCUUUCCGUGCAAGGCAUCUACAAUACACAAUGCCUGAGGAAAGCACGGAACAUAAUAAAAGACUACAGCCACCCAGGCUAUGGUCUGUUCACACUGCUGCCAUCUGGUAGAUGUUACUGGAGCAUCAGGGCGCUUCCAAACUCACCAAAAAUGUUUUUCCCCAGGCCAUAAGGCUCCUCAAUCAGCAACACUGAUCUAUUGAAUGAACACAUCAUAUGCUCUGGUCACUUUCUAUGUACAUUCAAUGUACAUUAACACAUUUGAAUGUAUGCAUUUAUAG